UAACUGUAGGGCUAAAGUCAUCAAAAGGGGAAGAGUGGGUGAGUCAUCUUUGGCUACCAUAGUCCUUGAGUCUCAAGACCCGCCAUUGGUGACUCUAGAGGUACAAACCGAAACCGCGGACAAAGACAACCCCGAUCUGAGGGGUGAGCCGGCUCAUGAAAAUGAGACGGUUAAUGCUGAUGAGCCAGUGGCGAUGGAAAGUGUCUAGGUCGACAACCAGAUCAAUACAGACGACCCGACGCAUAACAUUGACCCACCAUGUCCUGCUCGUGCCUCCAGCCCAAUAAAAGAGGCUGAAAAUAUCAUCCCAUCUCAUACAAUGGGCGAUGCAGAAGUGAAUAUCACUAGAGAAGCCUAUAAUGCUCUAGAGGCAUCAAACACCUUGACCAAGUUUGUGGUCAAGGAUGAGUUGUCCCCAUUAUCAAAGGGAAAUUCAAGCUGGAACUCCCCAAAUUUGAAGAGCUGAGUGUAGAAGAAAUCCACCAAGGAUAUUUGACCCGGUAUCUAAGAGCCGGGAUGCUGAAGCAAAUAUGAUUAACAUCCUGAAACGCAGAUAUGUGGUAUGAAACAAUCCUCCUUUCUCAUUAUUGUCCAUGCUAACGCAGCCCCCAAUUCUUAGGCAUAUGAAAGAUAUGAUUGUGUGUAAGACUUGCUUAAGGAUCCGAGUCCACUUUAGUCCCCAAGGGCCGACUUAGUAAAUCAUACUGAGCUGGGACUUAAAAUUUAGUAAGAAAUGAAAUGUGAUGUUGUAGCCCCCAAGGGUUGGGUCAUUAUGUGAAUAUGAGUCGGUACUUCAAAUUAUCACUUAGCUCAUAUUGCGGAAGAAUGCCUUAUAGCCCCCAAGGCCCAGCUUUUCUUCGGAAGGUAGCCAGGUCUUCCAUGUGUAAAUAGUUGUAGUUGAUAAAACUUCUUGCAUUAGCCCCCAAGUGCCAUGUAGAUUGUUUGCAACUACUUGGGACUUGUUCAGACAACAAGCUUUGCAUGUUGUAGCCCCCAAGUGUUGGAUUGUCUGUUUGCGGCAACUCAGGACUUUGGAUAACAUUUGAAGUUGAGUAAUAUGUAGGAAAUGCUAGAUGAAGCUGAGUCAUCUAUGGCCGGCUUACAAAAAGAUUGAAAUAGUAAAAUGAGCUAAGGAGAAAAGCUGAGAACUUGGCGGCUGAUCGCCAAAGGUCUGUGUACCAAGCAACUGAUACGUUGCAGGAGGCCAGAGCUCAAUUUGAAAAUGAAAAGGCCAGCUUGUAGAAAAGGGCAACUUGAGCUGGUGACUCAUCAGCUGAGUGAUUUGAAUCGUCAUAUAACAAAUAUGAUAAUGGCCAUCUUUGGUAGAAAAAAAUUACAAUGUUGUCCAGCUUCCCCUGGUGAAGUUAAAGGCGAUCUACUCUUAUGUGGAGCAGUUGUACACUGGUGGUGCUUAUGCAAUUAUGGCGGCUAACCAGAAUGCACCACCCCUCAAUGGUUCUAAGACAUGCGCAAUGAUUUGUCCACAAUCCCUCAGUGGAUUGGAGAAAUGGUCAAAUCGGUGGCUCAUGCUAGGUCCGGCAUGGUGCUUGCCCGAGCAAAGGAAUUUCUUCUAGAGAUGGAUCCUAAUAAGUUAGUCGGCGGGUUUCCAUAGUACAAUGUGGAUGGCGCAGAAUUCUCACGAGAAGACUUCUCAUGUUGUGUGAAGGAAACCAUGGUGGCGGUGACUCAACUAGUGAAAGAGCCGGACUUGGUUAAAUAUCAAGCCGACUAUUCAGAAGACAACAAGCGCACCACCCCGCCAAAGUACAAGCCCUUUGUGCUUACUCCGCCACAUCAUAAGCAAACUUUCACUCUUGACAUCGACCCGUCUGCUAUUAUCACCGAGGAUUGAGUUUUCCAAAAAUUAUCCACCAUCCAGUGGAAACCAAGAGACCUCUAGACCGAGCAGGACGAGCCGACGCAGGCUGACCCGACAACGACUGAUGCAGAGGGCCAACAUGAUGACGUCAACUCGGAGACCUCUUAUACGUGCUAAACUAGUAGCUAACUUAAAAACUUUGCUUGAUAUGUGGCCCAGCUGGGGCUUGUAAAUGGAGUAGGAAAAAUACUUGCUUGUCUAUGGUGCCAUCGUGCACUUGAUACUCUAGGCAUAUUUUGCAGAAGGAAUCGAAC
This 2133-nucleotide ribosomal RNA is filed under the name Triticum aestivum (bread wheat). RNAcentral describes it as "partial small subunit ribosomal RNA". Lineage: Eukaryota; Viridiplantae; Streptophyta; Magnoliopsida; Poales; Poaceae. The record is from RNAcentral.